This is a long non-coding RNA of Styela clava, 1625 nucleotides long. RefSeq lists it as uncharacterized. Lineage: Eukaryota; Metazoa; Chordata; Ascidiacea; Stolidobranchia; Styelidae. The record is from RefSeq and is a predicted model, not a curated record.
GUCGGAUUGAGUACCCAACACCAAUGCAAACAGCAUCUGCUUAGAGAUAUAACAUGGCACGUAACCGUGCAUUUGCGUCAUUUGAAAGAAGAUCUUCAAGUUGACUGGAAUGCGAAGAUCUUCGUUCGAUCAGGCGACAGAAGGUAAUUUCGAAUGGUGUGAGAAUCACAAGACAAAAAAAAUCUUGCGAUUACGACAAGAAUAUACUAUGAACAAUGAGAAAAAGAACUUAAUAAAUAUAGACAAAUCGAAAGGGCAUCGACACUGAAACUCAGAACAUACGCCGAAUUAUAUAAGUGGAAUGAGGAUAGAACAUAAAAGGAUACAGGACAAAUGAAAAAGGAAUGAUGCUCAUAUUGUUGCACGCCAAUGAAUAAGUGGAGUAACGCCGGGAUCAGUUACAAAGAAAUAAAAUGCACGAAAACCUUCAAUAAAUUGACACUUGGAAAUAUUAUGACCACCUACAACUCAGAAGCCAAGAGAACCAAUUUUGCAAAAUUCAUAAUGUUAUGCCAUCAUCGCCCCAUUGGUCUCUCAUACAUCUUUGUGAAUAAAAUUGUGAUACUGAUAUUGUAUUUAAUCAUGCAAUCGUAAAACCUUUACAAUGAAAAUACCGCUAUGCCUUUUGAACUUUGCGUUAUUAUUACAAGUGUUUGCUAAUUAUUCAACUAUAACAACAUGAAGAGCAUUCACUGUGAAAUUUUAUUCUCAUUUGUAUUUUCAAUCAUUGAGAAGCGAUAUACGUAUAUCUGAUAUAUAUGAAACAAAAAUAUUAAAAAACAAAUUGGCGAAAACGUUAUUUUACAGGUAUAUAUUUGUCCAUAUUUUGUUUUUAAUGAUUAGUAUUAUCAAAUACUCAAUACUCCCGUGUUCUUGUUUCUGGUUUAAACGUUUAAAUUAUUAUUUCCGUAGAAACAAUUAAUUCGAAAUACGAAAAAGGCUUUAAUAUAUUUUCUAAUAAUACACAGCAAAAUACAUCCUAUUUACUGUAAAAUAAUACAACUAUGCCUAUAUUACAAUCACUUUAUUUUAGGCAACCGUUCCAUUUCUAAAGUGUCCUAUCCUUUCUAGUGUGUUUUAUUAGGCAAACACAUAUAAAUAAAGUCAAGAACUCUAUGCAACUUUCAGUCCCACAUUUCACACACUGAUCACUGGCGCAUUGCCGAGGCUAUGCAACUUGUAGCCAAAAUAGAAUUGUUAGACCUAUCAAGACCCAACUGUUGGUACCAAUAAAUACCCGUAAUAAUUAUAAUGCUUUCACCUCAUUCUUGUCUCGUGUUUUUUGUCGUGAUUUAUAUGAGAUUGUAUUUUAUAUACGAGCCAUUCAACAAUCAUAUUGUUUUACUUUUGGUAUCAUGUAACUCUUAUUUACUUACGCUUACGCUAAUUUACUUGCAAAUUGUUUUUGUAUUGUUCAUAUCGUGAAUUUGAAAAAUAAUAUCAUGAUAAUAAACUUGUUGGUGUAUAUAAUAGUUUUUCUUACAUAAAAAUGCACUUUGAAUGUUAUAUAAUGAUGUAGUGAGGAACACGCGAAUCUAUAAAGAGAAUACAGUUACUAUACAAGAUAUUUAGAUACUUUACAUGAAAAUAGUGAUGGUAAAAUUCGCCAUAAAUCAAUUAUGUCA